RNAcentral lists this ribosomal RNA (467 nucleotides) under uncultured bacterium. RNAcentral describes it as "partial 16S ribosomal RNA". It matches the Rfam family "Bacterial small subunit ribosomal RNA", at positions 28 to 506 of the family's 1533-position model. The record is from RNAcentral.
GACGAACGCUGGCGGCGUGCUUAACACAUGCAAGUCGAACGGAAAGGCCCUGCUUUUGUGGGGUGCUCGAGUGGCGAACGGGUGAGUAACACGUGAGUAACCUGCCCUUGACUUUGGGAUAACUUCAGGAAACUGGGGCUAAUACCGGAUAGGAGCUCCUGCUGCAUGGUGGGGGUUGGAAAGUUUCGGCGGUUGGGGAUGGACUCGCGGCUUAUCAGCUUGUUGGUGGGGUAGUGGCUUACCAGGGCUUUGACGGGUAGCCGGCCUGGGAGGGUGACCGGCCACAUGGGACGUGAGAUACGGCCCAGACUCCUAGGGGAGGCAGCAGGGGGGAAUAUUGCACAAGGGGCGGAAGCCUGAUGCAGAACCGCCGCGGGCGGGAUGACGGCCUUCGGGGUGUAAACCGCUUUCCCCUGGGACGAGGGGGGGGAGGCGGGAAUGGGGAAAGAAGAACCGGAAAACUACGU